RNAcentral lists this small nucleolar RNA (93 nucleotides) under Castor canadensis (American beaver). Its description in RNAcentral is "Small nucleolar RNA SNORA70 (ENSCCNG00000017706.1)". It matches the Rfam family "Small nucleolar RNA SNORA70", at positions 43 to 135 of the family's 135-position model. Rfam says of the family: snoRNA U70 seems to be exclusive to mammals and is a member of the H/ACA class of snoRNA which contain H (ANANNA) and ACA box motifs. H/ACA box snoRNAs are involved in the conversion of uridines to pseudouridines (5-ribosyluracil) a constituent of structural RNAs (transfer, ribosomal, small nuclear, and small nucleolar). Lineage: Eukaryota; Metazoa; Chordata; Mammalia; Rodentia; Castoridae. The record is from Rfam by way of RNAcentral.
CCUGGUGAGUGGUGGCUGCAGACAGUAGCUUCCUCGAUAGUGUAUGCAGACUGUUGCUUGUGUGGGUUGACCUAAGAGACCUUGGAGAUAGGU